AUGCUUGCUUCAGCAGCACACAUACUAAAAUUGGAACAAUACAGAGGAGAUUAGCAUGGCCCUUGCGCAAGGAUGACACACAAAUUCGUGAAGGAUUCCAUAUUUUC
Molecule: small nuclear RNA, 107 nt
Filed under: Mandrillus leucophaeus (drill)
Lineage: Eukaryota; Metazoa; Chordata; Mammalia; Primates; Cercopithecidae
Source: RNAcentral